Canis lupus familiaris (dog) is the source of this 1722-nucleotide long non-coding RNA. RefSeq lists it as uncharacterized. The transcript is spliced from 5 exons. Lineage: Eukaryota; Metazoa; Chordata; Mammalia; Carnivora; Canidae. The record is from RefSeq and is a predicted model, not a curated record.
GGACUGGGAAAUCUCUACUUAUAUCCAGGAGCCCCUGCAUGUCCAACUUUGACUUGUACCACCAAAGAGGGAAAGCAAUGACAAUCAACUGGUGAACAGUUUGCCUAAUGAGGCAGUUACAGCACUCAGAAGAUGCCCUGAAAUCAAGUUCUAGAUCCAGGUGAAAUUCCAGUUCCUUCACUAACCUACCCUUCAAGAUUGCUCCCACAACAACACAAACACAGUGAAGACAGCAAAAAUGUGACACCCUCCUCUUCUGGAACAAGGAAGAUGAUCAGCUUUUGGAAAAAAUAAAGGUGUUUGAGAAAUGCAUUAUAACGGAAGGAAAUACCAAGAAAGAGAGUGAGCACAAAAAGGGAAAGCAGCAGAGGAAGAGGGAGAAGCAGGCUCCCCACUGAGCAGGGAGCCCGACAUGGGAUCAUGACCUGAGCCUAAAGCAGACUCUGAACUGACUGAGCCACCCAGGAGCCCCCAGCGAAUGUUUUGGUCUGAGCUUAGCCCGUUCCCAUGAGCGCCUAUUAAAGUGACUAUUGGCUUCAGGUAAGGGUGGGUUAAAGCCCAGGGUCCUAGAAGAAACAUAACUAAAAUUUGGUUAACAAGCACUUUGUUCUGAUUGAUCAGUGAAAACAAAACAGUUCAGCUAAUUAUUGAUGAGACAAAGAGGGAAAAUCAGGAGGAUCUGUGUCUCACUUCAUCGUAAGUAAUGAAGGGGCAUCUGCAAGUCUUAUCUAAGUCAUGCAGUAAGAUCCUUGCAGGGACAUAAAGAGAAAUGAGUUUCUUCAUUGUCCACUUUCAAAGACCACAGGGCUCAAGUGAAAUUGAGUUUUGUCACAUCUUACAAUUCAACAUGUUUAAGACUCCUGAGUUUUAAAAUUGACAGUACUAUAUCCUUCCUACUAAUUACUUUGCUUCCAAACUCAGGAUCAUUAUCACUUGGCUGGUGGAUCCAGAAAUCUAUGAUUACCCUUUGACUCAUCAUCCUGCAGAUGAUCGCUCUACCUCUACAUACUAUCUAUUCUCCCACUUAAAUACAGUUCAAAUUUGUGAAUAUUUUUGUAUCUCAAUAGCCAUCUUCUCGUUCUAGGGUAUUAUCAUUUCGUGCUCUCCCUCAUUCUAUCACAGAUUAUCUUUUCAAAAUGCAACCUCAGACACUACCGUGUUGAAAUCUUCCUUCAGAUACUGGCCUAUUGUGUGUGUGUGUGUGUGUGUGUGUGUGUGUGUGUGUAUGUGAAAGAGAGAGAGACAGAGACAGAGAGAGAGAGAGAGGAAGGGCAGAGAACCUUAAGCAGGCUCCAUGUCCUGUACAGAGCCUGAUGCAGAGCUCACUUUCAUAACCCUGAGAUUAUGACCUGAGCGGAAAUCAAGAGAGAGAUGCUUAACUGAAUGAGCCACCCAGUCGCACCACUGGCCAAAAUCUGUAAAGUGACUGCAUAAAAUCUGGCCUCUUUACCUUCACGUCCUCUUCAUUUCACUGUCUACAUCAAUCCCCACAUAUAAUUCUAACAUAUUGACAAGAUUUCCAGGUACCUAUGACUUGGAUUUUUUUCUACCUUCUCCAUUUCUUGCCACUACCUAUCCCAUCUGUAACCAGUGAGUUACCUAUGGUGGACUUGUCUCUGCCCCAGGCUUUUGUACAUUGAUUUGCCUUUUCUCCAUAUAUUUAACACAUAAUAUUCUCUAUCUGCAAACACAAAGCAUUUCUAUUUUCUCUGUCCCUGAAUA